Molecule: ribosomal RNA, 275 nt
Filed under: uncultured Geobacteraceae bacterium
Lineage: Bacteria; Pseudomonadati; Thermodesulfobacteriota; Desulfuromonadia; Geobacterales; Geobacteraceae
Description: partial 16S ribosomal RNA
Rfam family: Bacterial small subunit ribosomal RNA
Source: RNAcentral
UGGGCGUAAAGCGCGUGUAGGCGGCUUCUUAAGUCUGAUGUGAAAGCCCUGGGCUCAACCUGGGAAGUGCAUUGGAAACUGGGAAACUUGAAUACGGGAGAGGGUAGUGGAAUUCCUGGUGUAGGAGUGAAAUCCGUAGAUAUCAGGAGGAACACCGGUGGCGAAGGCGGCUACCUGGACCGAUAUUGACGCUGAGACGCGAAAGCGUGGGGAGCAAACAGGAUUAKAUACCCUGGUAGUCCACGCCGUAAACGAUGAGUACUAGGUGUUGCGGG